ACAUUGGAGGACAAGUUCUGGUCCCAGCACCCGCGGUUAAUUCCAGCUCCAAGAGCGUAUAUUAACGCUGUUGCUGUUAAGGGGUUCGUAGUUGAAUUGUGGAGUAUGGCCACGGGAUUCAGUCCUUUUCCCACGGUCUAGGAACGUCCCGACCAUACUCCGAGAACGUCAGAAACUAAGAUCACGGAAGCGUUUUUUACAAACUGCCACCGACUACGCGAGCAAUGUUCGCUGGUGGACGUCCGUGUUUUUUACUGUGACUAAAGAAGUGCGACCAAGGCAGUCCAUCGACAUGAAUUAGAAAGCAUGGGAUAACAAAGCAGCAGCCUAUGAGCUACCGUUUAGGCUUUUGUUGGUUUUAAAGGUUCGUGGGAGAUUACGGGCGUGUAGGACCGGCGUUGGGGGUUUUCCAAAAUCCCCGCGUCUCCUCCUGGCAUCGGAAACGGUGCUUGCGGGGCCUGCUUCGCUCAGGAAUGAAGGAGGGUUGCUCGGGGGAGAACGUACUUGGGCGUGAGAGGUGAAAUUCUUAGACCGCCCAAAGACGAACUACAGCGAAGGCAUUUUCCAAGGAUACCUUCCUCAAUCAAGAACCAAAGUGUGGGGAUCGAAGAUGAUUAGAGACCAUUGUAGUCCACACCACAAACGAUGACCCC
RNAcentral lists this ribosomal RNA (653 nucleotides) under uncultured marine eukaryote. RNAcentral describes it as "SSU rRNA". It matches the Rfam family "Eukaryotic small subunit ribosomal RNA", at positions 545 to 1046 of the family's 1831-position model. The record is from RNAcentral.